RNAcentral lists this ribosomal RNA (465 nucleotides) under Vreelandella stevensii. RNAcentral describes it as "partial 16S ribosomal RNA". It matches the Rfam family "Bacterial small subunit ribosomal RNA", at positions 338 to 795 of the family's 1533-position model. Lineage: Bacteria; Pseudomonadati; Pseudomonadota; Gammaproteobacteria; Oceanospirillales; Halomonadaceae. The record is from RNAcentral.
CCUACGGGAGGCUGCAGUGGGGAAUAUUGGACAAUGGGGGGAACCCUGAUCCAGCCAUGCCGCGUGUGUGAAGAAGGCCCUCGGGUUGUAAAGCACUUUCAGUGAGGAAGAACGCCUGGUGGUUAAUACCCAUCAGGAAAGACAUCACUCACAGAAGAAGCACCGGCUAACUCCGUGCCAGCAGCCGCGGUAAUACGGAGGGUGCGAGCGUUAAUCGGAAUUACUGGGCGUAAAGCGCGCGUAGGUGGCUUGAUAAGCCGGUUGUGAAAGCCCCGGGCUCAACCUGGGAACGGCAUCCGGAACUGUCAAGCUAGAGUGCAGGCGAGGAAGGUAGAAUUCCCGGUGUAGCGGUGAAAUGCGUAGAGAUCGGGAGGAAUACCAGUGGCGAAGGCGGCCUUCUGGACUGACACUGACACUGAGGUGCGAAAGCGUGGGUAGCAAACAGGAUUAGAUACCCCAGUAGUC